This 484-nucleotide ribosomal RNA is filed under the name uncultured bacterium. RNAcentral describes it as "partial 16S ribosomal RNA". It matches the Rfam family "Bacterial small subunit ribosomal RNA", at positions 30 to 507 of the family's 1533-position model. The record is from RNAcentral.
AUUGAACGCUGGCGGCAGGCCUAACACAUGCAAGUCGAGCGGAAGAUUGGAGCUUGCUCCUGGACUCAGCGGCGGACGGGUGAGUCAUGCCUUUGAAUCUGCCUGGUCUUCGGGGAUAACGUCCGGAAACGGGCUCUAAUACCGCAUACGUCCUGAGGUCGCCUGUGGGUGAGCUUCGGACCUCACGCUUUCAGAUGAGCCUAGGUCGGAUUAGCUAGUUGGUGGGGUAGAUGCCUACCAAGGCGACGAUGCGUAACUGGUCUGAGAGGAAGAUCAGUCACACUGGAACUGAGACACAGCCCAGACACCGAGGCGAGGCCGCAGUGGGGAAUAUUAGACGAUGGGCCAAAGCCUGAUCCAGGCAAGUCGCGUAUGUGAAGAUGGUCUUCGGAUUGGAAAGCACUGUAAGUUGGGGGGAUGGGCAGUAAGUUAACACCUUGCUAUUUUGACGUUACCGACAGAAUAAGCACCGGCUAACUUCGUG